This is an RNA transcript of Amaranthus tricolor (Joseph's coat), 1242 nucleotides long. It is a transcript of the gene named ras-related protein RIC2, with no coding region annotated. Lineage: Eukaryota; Viridiplantae; Streptophyta; Magnoliopsida; Caryophyllales; Amaranthaceae. The record is from RefSeq and is a predicted model, not a curated record. The transcript is spliced from 3 exons.
AAGAAAAGAAAAAUAAAAAGGGUCGAGCAAGUCCAAAGGUGGAGACAAGAGUCAACAGUCAAGAGUAUGUAGCAAAAUCUAAAAAUAGCAAGUGACGGCGACGAUUCAGGAAGAUUUUCCGUUAAGAAACUAAAGUUGUACUGUAACGUUCUCUUUCUUUCAAAAAUCCAGAAUUUGAAAUUUCUACUUUACUCUUUUCAUUUGAAACAGGGCAAUUUCAAUUCAAACUUCCAUUAAAAUGUCUGGUUACAGAGCAGAAGAUGAUUAUGAUUACCUCUUCAAAGUAGUUUUAAUCGGAGAUUCUGGUGUUGGAAAGUCCAAUUUGCUCUCUAGGUUCACUAGAAAUGAGUUUAGCCUCGAGUCUAAAUCUACAAUUGGUGUCGAGUUUGCUACUCGGAGUUUAAAUGUUGAUGGAAAGGUUAUUAAAGCUCAGAUUUGGGAUACUGCUGGUCAAGAAAGGUAUCGGGCUAUUACAAGUGCCUAUUACCGAGGAGCUGUUGGUGCACUCCUUGUGUACGAUGUCACUAGGCACGCCACAUUCGAAAGUGUGGAGAGGUGGUUAAAGGAGCUAAGGGAUCACACUGAUCCCAACAUCGUAAUUAUGCUCAUCGGAAACAAAUCAGACCUUCGUCACCUUGUUGCAGUUCCAGUUGAAGAUGGGAAAACAUUCUCUGUAACGGAGUCCCUUUAUUUCAUGGAGACUUCUGCGCUGGAAGCAACCAAUGUGGAGAAUGCCUUCACAGAAGUUCUUACUCAAAUUUACCGCAUUGUCAGCAAGAAGGCUAUGGAAGCCGGAGAGGAUGCAAAUGGUUCAGCCGUUCCUGCCGGUGAGAAAAUAGAUAUUGGCAAAGAAGUGUCUGCAGUGAAGAAAGGUGGCUGCUGCUCUAGUUAAGGUGCUUGUGGAGCUGCACAGUUUUUCUGUACACCUUGAUAUGGGCCAUUUUUUUAUAUGGACCAUCUUAGGAGUGUUGUCCAAUUGAAGAGUAAGCUUAGCAAGAGAAAGAGUGCUAUCACUUUGAUGCUGUGGACUGAGAUUUUGUUUUAGAUUUGGCUUCAGAGGAUUGGACGCAUUUUUAAUGGAUCUAUCUUCCUACCUUGUCAUGUAGCUAAGAAUAUCCUUUUUUAUGUUGCUUCUAGAUUAGAUGAUGAUAGGAAGACUAAUCUUAUUGUUUAGUUUGUUUGGUGGCUUCUUGUUGUUUGGUUUUGGCCUACUUGUUUUGGCUUUGGUGCUUCCUUUUCGUG